RNAcentral lists this ribosomal RNA (563 nucleotides) under Cladosporium bruhnei. Its description in RNAcentral is "SSU rRNA". It matches the Rfam family "Eukaryotic small subunit ribosomal RNA", at positions 33 to 598 of the family's 1831-position model. The record is from RNAcentral. Lineage: Eukaryota; Fungi; Ascomycota; Dothideomycetes; Cladosporiales; Cladosporiaceae.
UGUCUCAAAGAUUAAGCCAUGCAUGUCUAAGUAUAAGCAACUAUACGGUGAAACUGCGAAUGGCUCAUUAAAUCAGUUAUCGUUUAUUUGAUAGUACCUUACUACAUGGAUAACCGUGGUAAUUCUAGAGCUAAUACAUGCUAAAAACCUCGACUUCGGAAGGGGUGUAUUUAUUAGAUAAAAAACCAAUGCCCUUCGGGGCUCCUUGGUGAAUCAUAAUAACUUAACGAAUCGCAUGGCCUUGCGCCGGCGAUGGUUCAUUCAAAUUUCUGCCCUAUCAACUUUCGAUGGUAGGAUAGUGGCCUACCAUGGUAUCAACGGGUAACGGGGAAUUAGGGUUCGACUCCGGAGAGGGAGCCUGAGAAACGGCUACCACAUCCAAGGAAGGCAGCAGGCGCGCAAAUUACCCAAUCCCGACACGGGGAGGUAGUGACUAAUAAAUACUGAUACAGGGCUCUUUUGGGUCUUGGAAAUUGGAAUGAGUACAAUUUAAAUCCCUUAACGAGGAACAAUUGGAGGGCAAGUCUGGUGCCAGCAGCCGCGGUAAUUCCAGCUCCAAUAGC